UGAUCAGCCACACUGGGACUGACACACGGUCCAGACUCCUACGGGAGGCAGCAGUGAGGAAUUUUGCGCAAUGGGGGGAACCCUGACGCAGCAACGCCGCGUGAGUGAAGAAGGCCCUUGGGUCGUAAAGCUCUGUCAAUGGGGAAGAAGUUAUUAUGUAUUAAUAGUGCAUAGUAUUGACGGUACCCAUGAAGGAAGCACCGGCUAACUCCGUGCCAGCAGCCGCGGUAAUACGGGGGGUGCAAGCGUUAUUCGGAUUUAUUGGGCGUAAAGGGCGCGUAGGCGGCCUCAUUAGUCAGAUGUGAAAGCCCGGGGCUUAACCCCGGAAGUGCAUUUGAAACUGUGGGGCUUGAGUAUGGGAGAGGGAAGUGGAAUUCCUGGUGUAGAGGUGAAAUUCGUAGAUAUCAGGAGGAACACCGGGUGGGCGAAGGCGACUUUCCUGGACCAAUACUGACGCUGAGGCGCGAAGGCGUGGGGGAGCAAAACAGGAUUAGAUACCCCUGGGUAGUCCCACGCAGUAAACGUUGAUCACUAGGUGGUAGCGGGGUUAUUGGACCCCAUUUAACCGCCAU
RNAcentral lists this ribosomal RNA (572 nucleotides) under uncultured sulfate-reducing bacterium. RNAcentral describes it as "bacterial SSU rRNA". It matches the Rfam family "Bacterial small subunit ribosomal RNA", at positions 301 to 849 of the family's 1533-position model. The record is from RNAcentral.